Bactrocera oleae (olive fruit fly) is the source of this 89-nucleotide small nucleolar RNA. RefSeq annotates it as small nucleolar RNA U3. Lineage: Eukaryota; Metazoa; Arthropoda; Insecta; Diptera; Tephritidae. The record is from RefSeq and is a predicted model, not a curated record.
UAAAUUUCACUUCACAGGAUCAUUUCUGUAGUUAAUCUUCACUUACUUUCUUUGCAUGUGUAGUAGAACGACUGAGCUGAUAUUUUGGG